This 501-nucleotide ribosomal RNA is filed under the name uncultured Glomus. RNAcentral's name for it is "SSU rRNA". It matches the Rfam family "Eukaryotic small subunit ribosomal RNA", at positions 569 to 1074 of the family's 1831-position model. The record is from RNAcentral. Lineage: Eukaryota; Fungi; Glomeromycota; Glomeromycetes; Glomerales; Glomeraceae.
AGCAGCCGCGGUAAUUCCAGCUCCAAUAGCGUAUAUUAAAGUUGUUGCAGUUAAAAAGCUCGUAGUUGAAUUUCGAGAUCAAUUUGUUGGUCGUGCCUCGGUACGUACUGGCAAUUUUGAUUUCUCCCUUCUGAAGAAUCAUGAUGUCAUUAAUUUGGUGUCAUGGGGAAUCAGGACCGUUACUUUGAAAAAUUAGAGUGUUUAAAGCAGGCUCGCGCUUGAAUACAUUAGCAUGGAAUAAUGAAAUAGGACGUUUGAUUCUAUUUUGUUGGUUUCUAGGAUCGACGUAAUGAUUAAUAGGGAUAGUUGGGGGCAUUAGUAUUCAAUUGUCAGAGGUGAAAUUCUUGGAUUUAUUGAAGACUAACUACUGCGAAAGCAUUUGCCAAGGAUGUUUUCAUUAAUCAAGAACGAAAGUUAGGGGAUCGAAGACGAUCAGAUACCGUCGUAGUCUUAACCAUAAACUAUGCCGACUAGGGAUCGGAUGAUGUUAAUUUUUAAUGA